This 253-nucleotide ribosomal RNA is filed under the name uncultured bacterium. RNAcentral's name for it is "partial 16S ribosomal RNA". It matches the Rfam family "Bacterial small subunit ribosomal RNA", at positions 524 to 776 of the family's 1533-position model. The record is from RNAcentral.
UACGGAGGAUCCAAGCGUUAUCCGGAUUUAUUGGGUUUAAAGGGUGCGUAGGCGGCCUAUUAAGUCAGGGGUGAAAGACGGUAGCUUAACUAUCGCAGUGCCAUUGAUACUGAUGGGCUUGAAUGUACUUGAGGUAGGCGGAAUGUGACAAGUAGCGGUGAAAUGCAUAGAUAUGUCACAGAACACCAAUUGCGAAGGCAGCUUACUAAAGUAUGAUUGACGCUGAGGCACGAAAGCGUGGGGAUCAAACAGG